RNAcentral lists this long non-coding RNA (798 nucleotides) under Nicotiana benthamiana. Its description in RNAcentral is "long non-coding RNA (NBEN_LNC029242)". The stretch from base 206 to 275 matches the Rfam family "MIR6151 microRNA precursor family". Lineage: Eukaryota; Viridiplantae; Streptophyta; Magnoliopsida; Solanales; Solanaceae. The record is from RNAcentral.
CGCGACUAUGCUUCUUUUUCUCAACAAGCACCUGAAUCCAGCCCUAGUAAUGUUAAAAUUCAAGCGAUUGAACCUCAAAUCUCUCCUCAUGCGUUCUCCUUUCUCUCCUCUUACCACAGAUAACCAUUUCUGACACUGAAGAUUCUCAUUCCCUUCGCUCGCUCGAUUUGGAGAUAAGGCACGUGAUUAGAAGCUUCUGGGAACGAUUUGGUGGAUGAGUGUGAGGCGUUGGAUUGAUUUCACUUAAUCCAAGCCCCACAUUCAUCACGAAUCUAUUUUCAAAAGGAGCUCAAUCCAAUUUUUGAGGGGGGCGGAAAACAUUUCAGAAAAAGGGGUAUCGAAAGGUUUUCUGUGAAAAAGUUACUCUUGCCAUUUGACUUUCUUGGACGAGGUCAUUAAAGUUUAAGAAAAACAUAGAUACAUUUUUUUCUUAUUUUAAAUCCGGAUUUGAGUUCCUGAAAGAAAAAUUGAAGUUCAAGCUAUGUUUCACUGUUGUUCUGCUGAACCUGAAUAGAAUUCAGGAUCGGAAGGUGUAGUGUUGAGAAUAUAUUUAUUAAAAAGAUUUUGAAAUUUCAGGUUCGAUCUCUUUAUUUUUUCGCAUCUCUGUUAUGAAAUACUUUGAACAUUGGGAUUUUGCCCAAGAAUGAUGUUCGGUUCUGUGUGGUUCUUUUGUUGCUGAACUGCUUCUCAGUGGCGCGCAUUUGAAUAUUCUCACUUAGUAGAAGUUCAUUUCGAGUGGUCGUUUUCUUUUGCUUAACUGAUAUUGUGAUGUCGAGUUUCGUUUGAGUGAAGGUUCUG